This is a long non-coding RNA of Passer montanus (Eurasian tree sparrow), 241 nucleotides long. RefSeq lists it as uncharacterized. The transcript is spliced from 3 exons. The record is from RefSeq and is a predicted model, not a curated record. NCBI's taxonomy places the organism in Eukaryota, Metazoa, Chordata, Aves, Passeriformes, Passeridae.
UCUUUUUCAUUUUUUUUUUCUUUUCAGGCAAAGCAGUGGCUAGAAGAAAUGAGCUGGUCAAGGCAGGCCCAAGGAGACUCUAGAACGGCAUGGGAUAAAGCUAAGGAAUGGAUAAAAAAGAUAUUCAACAGAAUCAUAACGGCGUGGGAUAUAGCUAAGAAAUGCAUAAAAAUGAUAUUCGACGCAAUCAGUAAGUGUACUGGAUCCCAUUGCUCUUGUCUGUGGCCAUCCUUGGGAACCC